UACUCUUGUCCGCGCGCUAACCGAAGCAGCGACGGGGUGGCGUGACCAACAAAGAAAGCAGGUCUUCUUUCUCUCUCCUUCCUCCAGCGGUCUAUGCGGGCGGGGCGAGGUUGGGAGAAGAGGAGGAGUGCAUGCUGUGGAGGAAAGAGGAGGGAGAGGGGAAGAGAGAGUCUGGGUGACCGCCGCCUCUGACCUCCGUCUUGUGACGUGCGCGGCCGGCCGCUCCUCCUCGACGCGACAGCGGCCGCGUGGUUGACGCAGAUGACGGAGCGGAGGGGCAACUGGAUGUUCUUCCAUAUAAGGGUGUAACUUGACUUAAUAACGAUAUAAGCCAACUAAGUCUGUAUAACAUAGAAGUUACCGAAAGUGACGACCCGUUUUAGUUCGCUACCUUCUAGGUACCAUGUAACACCACAAUAGACGAUGACUAAAUGUCCGGAACACCAACAGCAAGGGUACCGACAUGGCAAGUGCAAAUACGUCCCAAAUUUCAAACUACAUCCUACCCGUGUGUUCAAACUACAAACGUCAAUGUCUAAAAACAGUUUCGGGCGACUUUGCUUCAAAUCAAGUCGUCUGGUACAUACAACCUUCUUUCGUUUAAAGAACGGAAGACUUAGGAGGCAUCGGUAUUAUAAAAUAAAGUCUGGCUUAACAGGGUCGAGUCACAUAGAGUCGCUUCAUCGCCCAAGUACGUUCCGGACCGGCUGCCGUUGCUGAAAUCCCCGACAGCACGAAACGUAUGAAGUAGAUCCAUUUAACACGAUCGAAAGUCUAAUAAGUAAAAGCAAAAUGGGACAGUUUCUAGAAGAGUCUAAUCAAUUGGUUCGAUACAUUACUACCACAACACUAAGGCCCCCGAGACAACCUCCUAGUCGAAACCAAGUCUCCGUCCAAAACCCGUAUGGCGUCGUGUUCGUCUCCGUAUAGAGUCAGCUACGAUGACGUCAACUACUACGGGACUUCGAAAGAAGUCAUUGACUAAGUCGCACGGCGACAAGAGAUUCCAGCAACUCACGACUCUUGUCCGUUAUAUUAAUCCGAAAAUUGCUCUUCUACCUCCUCUAUUUUUGAAAGUCCUUCACAAAUCCGCUCAAGGUACGGGUUUUAUUACAAUACACUCGUCUCUCACGUCCGAACACGAGAAGACAACUUCUCGAACUCGUACUCUCUAACUUAGUUGUGUAUUCAGUACUCUCGUAUAUAAAUCUGCUCCUCUCCACUGACCAGUUUCUUUAAUUCUGGGAACUUUUUUGGUCUGGCUCCCAGUCAAGGUUACAACGAUUCGUUCGAUUUUACCUUCUAUAUCACCGACUCUCUCUACGGUAUGUACUAGUCCACUUUUAGUAGUAUGUACCUCAUUUCCUCCCUCUUCGUCGGUACAGAUUCUAAUUCCAGGACCUGCUACUCCGCUACCCGCACCUCUCGACGAUGUUCGAGCGCGUCCGCCGUAUGCAGUUGGAGCGCGACGUGUGUGAGUUCGUGGACCGCGGGCAGCAGUUACCCGAGGAGCAGGUACUAAUCGACCUGUUGUACUUGGAGCUCCUCCAACACUUCCCCUUGUAGACACUGCGGCAAGAAAUCUAUUAUUAUUACCACGUUAUGACGUAUCCUCCUUCAACAAACCCGGAAAAUGACUACCUAUAUAAAGAAUGAAAACUAGGAGUAGUUAUUAGAGGUCCAGAAACCCUCAAACGAUCGUCAGGACCAGUCUGAACCUGGUCCCUGAUCGCAGGACCUACGGAACCGUACGAGCCGAGGUGGCCACAACGUUCGGUCCACUUAUGAAGGGGCGAAUCCGGGAACGACAACAACAUAGCUUUCCAACUGAAUUGUUUUACUAGAUAUAUAUCAAGUAGCCUAUAACAACUUGUAGAAGUAUAACAGAUUCUUUUUAACAUUACAUCGCGUUGUUUGUUACGGGUCUAAUAUAAUCGGUAGUUUCUAUGAACGGAAGUUUCUGAUAAAAAUUUUUUAUGAAAGGGUCUAUUAAUAAGAAAACGUCUCUCUAACCCGUUCGCGAUGAACAAUGCACGGACGAUCUAUAAUGUGUUCUACAUAAAGUAAUUCCAGACGACUGGUUAAUUAAAAUAACAAGAAUAUACUCUACAACACCAACGGACUUAACAAAAAGUUAUAUGACUUCGAAUUAAUGUAAGGGAUCUAGCCAACACUUUCACCGUAGGGCCUUAAAUAAACUAUGAAGCCUAAUGUAACCUAUACCAACACGAUUGAACUGUUUUGUCGCACCGAAGUAAACAGCGCCAAGAGUCAGAGAGUGCCAGAAUCAACGGACUUAGCGACCCAAAUGUACCAUGAUGUUUAAUCACAUCGUCUAUCACCAUCUAGUCUACUCCACGGAAAUGAGCAGACGAGGGAACCUUUACGUACGUAUAGGUACAACUGCAGACGAUAGAAACUAGAAAUAAGACUUAGUCUCUAUCACGGGUAUACAUAUGUAUACCGUAGAAGUAUAAUAAAAAAUACUGUUUGAGUAGAAAGGUGCCGACCGAGUUCAAGUAAAGUCCUAGUAGUUCGAAGGGCACAUGUAGAUGGUGGGUUCAGUACACUUGCUCGGCUACUUCUAUGAGUUGUAAUAAACGAAGUCGAUGAAGGAAGCAUUGAUGUUCUAUGAAUUCUACCUCCGGACGAGCACCUACGAGGUGACCAAAUGACGUCAAAGUUCCCGAAUCCCUCGCGGAGGAACAACUGUUGGAGAAGGAACGGUUCGAACAGUACCUCACGCAGCAGCUCGGUAGUCGUUACAGACAAAAUAAAACUCUUCGGCAGUAAGUGGCCUAAAUCUAUCUAGUAGGCGCUGACGGUGACGGCGGACAGCCUCGACAAUUGAGUCGAAAUGGGAUAAAACUUGACGCCGAGGUGAAAACCUGUCUUACAUGCUAAUACAUACGGUCAUAGUUUUUGACACAGGGGAAGUAAAACUUCGUCGAUUGUAUGUAGAUUUACGUAUCAAAUUGGUCGAUAUGUUGACUAACGGUGGAGUUU
RNAcentral lists this ribosomal RNA (3006 nucleotides) under Triticum aestivum (bread wheat). RNAcentral's name for it is "partial small subunit ribosomal RNA". The record is from RNAcentral. Lineage: Eukaryota; Viridiplantae; Streptophyta; Magnoliopsida; Poales; Poaceae.